GUACAUCCAGAGAACUUAGCAGAGAUGCUUUGGUGCCUUCGGGAACUCUGAGACAGGUGCUGCAUGGCUGUCGUCAGCUCGUGUUGUGAAAUGUUGGGUUAAGUCCCGCAACGAGCGCAACCCCUAUCCUUUGUUGCCAGCGAUUCGGUCGGGAACUCAAAGGAGACUGCCGGUGAUAAACCGGAGGAAGGUGGGGAUGACGUCAAGUCAUCAUGGCCCCUACGAGUAGGGCUACACACGUGCUACAAUGGCGCAUACAAAGAGAAGCGACCUCGCGAGAGCAAGCGGACCUCAUAAAGUGCGUCGUAGUCCGGAUUGGAGUCUGCAACUCGACUCCAUGAAGUCGGAAUCGCUAGUAAUCGUAGAUCAGAAUGCUACGGUGAAUACGUUCCCGGGCCUUGUACACACCGCCCGUCACACCAUGGGAGGUGGGUUGCAAAAGAAGUAGAUAGCUUAACCUUCGGGAGGGCGUUUACCACUUUGUGAUUCGUGACUGGGGUGAAGUCGUAACAAGGUAGGCGUAGCGAG
This 528-nucleotide ribosomal RNA is filed under the name uncultured bacterium. RNAcentral describes it as "bacterial SSU rRNA". It matches the Rfam family "Bacterial small subunit ribosomal RNA", at positions 982 to 1509 of the family's 1533-position model. The record is from RNAcentral.